GAUUGUCCUAGCUAUAUAACUAGUUAUAACCAUUUUACACGUUCAUGUCAAGAUUUGUGUUUCUGUAUAUUCCCUUUUUAUUGUACUUGCUUUAGAAAUCAGUAUAAGAUCAUAUUUCACAGCAGAAACUUGCGGGAUAGGCAGUUUAGAAGUGUUAUGGAGGAAGAGGUGUGUUUUCCGAUAGCUUGAACGGUCCGGACGUCAGAAAUCUAAAGGGGUAACUGUUUGAAGACCGGCAAAUUUGUAGUUUAAUGAGUCAACAAAAUGACAAAUGUCUACGGUAAUAGUGGGUGCUCGAUAGAUAUGUGUGUCAAAUGACUUAUCCCAAUCACACGCUUCGAGUCAAAGUGUUUGACUUUUAGCAUCUUCCUCUCUUCUAGACAGUUUUUCAAAGAUGUCACUCAAGUAUAGCUCCAAAGACUGUUUUUCAAUGUCUUUGUUCGUUUUAUGGUUGUUUGUUACUUUUCUUUAUGAAUUUGGGCAGUUAAAAGGGAAACACUCCAUGUUGUGUUGGCUAAUGGCCAUGUUGCUGCUAAGAUGAUGGAGCGUCAAAGACAGGUCUUCUCUCAAAGGAUACAUAUUAUAGCUCCUUAACACUUACCUGUUUAAGUAAUUAAUUCUUGAAGUGGCUUACGUAUUACCAGCUCAUAUUAUAGC
Molecule: long non-coding RNA, 657 nt
Filed under: Brassica napus (rape)
Lineage: Eukaryota; Viridiplantae; Streptophyta; Magnoliopsida; Brassicales; Brassicaceae
Description: long non-coding RNA (BNAP_LNC009380)
Source: RNAcentral